AUUCCUCUGUUCAUUCAUUUGUUCCUCUCUGUUCACUUUUAUUCCUGAGUUCAUUGAACUGCCUCUCUGUUUUGCUUUUUUUUUGUAGCUCUUUGACUUUCUUCAUGAAGGCUGUUUUGAAUUCUCUUAUCAGUUAGCUCACAAUAUUCUGUAACUUUAAGUGUGGUUACUGGAGAAUUGUCAUUGUACUUUUGUGAUAAAAGUGUUACUAUGGUUCUUCAUGAUGUUUGAUGAAAUUGUUCCUCUGCUGGCACAUUUAAAGUAGCAAG
RNAcentral lists this long non-coding RNA (269 nucleotides) under Bos taurus (domestic cattle). Its description in RNAcentral is "long non-coding RNA NONBTAT017494". Lineage: Eukaryota; Metazoa; Chordata; Mammalia; Artiodactyla; Bovidae. The record is from RNAcentral.